Belonocnema kinseyi is the source of this 315-nucleotide long non-coding RNA. RefSeq lists it as uncharacterized. The record is from RefSeq and is a predicted model, not a curated record. The transcript has 3 exons. Lineage: Eukaryota; Metazoa; Arthropoda; Insecta; Hymenoptera; Cynipidae.
GAAUAUGGCACCGGCAGGACAUUAUUACGUAGAGCUCAUGAAGAGUUGCUAAUGCAGCCAACAGAUGUUCGAGCUAUUUCUAGAUAGAAUCACAGAAAAUCGCAAAACCCAUUGCUGUUAGAUGUGUAAUUCGUUCUCCAACGGUUUUCCAGCAAUCAGCCUUAUUUCCUGACUGUCUGAAAACAUAGCUUUCGACCAACCUUGAUGGCAUACUCGCUCUGAAGUCGGGAGAGAGUUUGGACCACGACGCUCGAUAGCACCUAAUUCGAGAUCCUGAGAUCCAUUUUUCCUUGAUUUUUUUUGUAUACGAGGGUG